This 440-nucleotide ribosomal RNA is filed under the name uncultured bacterium. RNAcentral describes it as "partial 16S ribosomal RNA". It matches the Rfam family "Bacterial small subunit ribosomal RNA", at positions 338 to 795 of the family's 1533-position model. The record is from RNAcentral.
CCUACGGGUGACAGCAGUGGGGAAUAUUGCACAAUGGGGGAAACCCUGAUGCAGCGACGCCGCGUGAGUGAAGAAGUAUUUCGGUAUGUAAAGCUCUAUCAGCAGGGAAGAAAAUGACGGUACCUGACUAAGAAGCCCCGGCUAACUACGUGCCAGCAGCCGCGGUAAUACGUAGGGGGCAAGCGUUAUCCGGAUUUACUGGGUGUAAAGGGAGCGUAGACGGCCUGACAAGUCAGAAGUGAAAGCCCAGGGCUCAACCCUGGGACUGCUUUUGAAACUGUCGGGCUGGAGUACAGGAGAGGUAGGCGGAAUUCCUAGUGUAGCGGUGAAAUGCGUAGAUAUCAAGAGGAACACUCGUGGCGAAGGCGGGUUCCUGGACAGUAACUGACGCUGAGGCACGAAAGCCAGGGGAGCGAAAAGGAUUAGAUACCCCUGUAGUC